RNAcentral lists this ribosomal RNA (206 nucleotides) under uncultured bacterium. RNAcentral describes it as "partial 16S ribosomal RNA". It matches the Rfam family "Bacterial small subunit ribosomal RNA", at positions 568 to 774 of the family's 1533-position model. The record is from RNAcentral.
CUCGUAGGUGGCCAACUAAGUCAGACGUGAAAUCCCUCGGCUUAACCGGGGAACUGCGUCUGAUACUGGAUGGCUUGAGUUUGGGAGAGGGAUGCGGAAUUCCAGGUGUAGCGGUGAAAUGCGUAGAUAUCUGGAGGAACACCGGUGGCGAAGGCGGCGUCCUGGACCAAUACUGACACUGAGGAGCGAAAGCCAGGGAGCAAACG